This 252-nucleotide ribosomal RNA is filed under the name uncultured bacterium. RNAcentral's name for it is "partial 16S ribosomal RNA". It matches the Rfam family "Bacterial small subunit ribosomal RNA", at positions 524 to 775 of the family's 1533-position model. The record is from RNAcentral.
AACGUAGGAGACAAACGUUAUCCGGAGUUACUGGGCGUAAAGGGCGUGUAGGUGGUUUCGUAAGUCUGGCGUGAAAUAUCUCGGCUUAACCGAGGCAGGUCGUCGGAUACUGCGGAACUAGAGGACGGUAGAGGCGUGUGGAAUUCCGGGUGUAGUGGUGAAAUGCGUAGAGAUCCGGAGGAACACCAGUGGCGAAGGCGGCCUGCUGGGCAGUAGCUGACACUGAGGCGCGACAGCGUGGGGAGCAACAGG